UCUCUCGAAGAAGAAGAGCAAAGAACUUGAAGAAUUCACCGAAUCUUUCCGCCGUUCUUCUUUCAUAGAUCUACGCUAUUCUCGUCAAAGCCAAUAUACGACAUCAAGAUCCUCUCUGUUGGAAGACAAACAAAGGUAACAACUUUUGUAAAACUUGACAGCAAGAGGAAUGGGCGUUAAACUGUCUGAACCAACAGCUCAGAUCAGUUGCAGAUUGCUAUUAUGGCUCUUCGUCCCUUUGCUAUGUCAAUCUACAAGAAGAUUAUUGGAUCGGGAGAGAACUGAAAUGAUCUUAAGAUUUCAAUUAUAAGUAGGUCGUCAAAGAAAUAGAGAAGAAGCCCAAAUAAAAUAAUAGACAAUGAAGCAGAGAAUUUGAGAACAGCAUUUGGCGAUUCACCUUAAUUUUUUCUUUUUCUCUCUCAAAGAAGAAGAACGACGAAUUCGAAGAACCCACUGAAUCCCUUUGUCGUUCUUCUCUCAAAGAUCUACUCUACUCUCGUCGCCGACAAAUCUCCAAAAGAAAUGUUAGUUGUAAUUGAAAAGGAUAGUUAAGCCUCCAAUUCAUGUCAGCAAACCAUAUACGAAUGAAAAGAGAAUGAAGGAAAAGAAGAAGGAGAAGGUCUGUUGGUGGUUUUAGAUAUAUUGUAUGGUUUUUAGUAACAAUUUUUCGGUUUGUAAUUUGGUUUCUAAGGUUAUGUAUAAAUCUAAGUGUUUAGGUACAACUGGUACGAUCAGGUACAACUAUGUUUCUGGGUUUAUGUUUUUUUAUUAUGUAUAAAUCUUUGAAUCUUAAUCUAAUUAUGUAUGAAUCUUUGAAUC
Arabidopsis lyrata subsp. lyrata is the source of this 819-nucleotide long non-coding RNA. RefSeq lists it as uncharacterized. The transcript has 2 exons. NCBI's taxonomy places the organism in Eukaryota, Viridiplantae, Streptophyta, Magnoliopsida, Brassicales, Brassicaceae. The record is from RefSeq and is a predicted model, not a curated record.